ACAGUAAAAGGUUAUUUAUAUAUUUUUUUAAAUCAAUCUGUUGUUUUUAAUAGUAGAAGCAAAAACAAAUGCAUUUUGACAUUUAAUUUUUUAAUAUAUAAAUACAUUUAUGUAUAUAUAUUUGUGUUAAUUUCUUAGAAAACAAUUUUAUCUUUUAUUUGUUCCCUAUUUUUUUUUUUUUUUUUUUUUUAUUUCUUUUUUUUUUUAAUGACUAGCUACACUGAACUAAACAUGGAAGAAACAAUAGAAAGUAAAUGUAACAACUUAUCCGAAUUAGAUAAAGAGGAGCAGGUGUUUUUUUUGUUUACUUUUUUUUUUAACUGUUUUUAAUUGUUUGUUUUGUUUUUUUAUAAGUGCAUAUUUAUUAAUUUGUUUAUUUUAUAUAUUAUUAUUAUUAUUUUAUACAUAGGCCUUUUUCUUUCUUUCUUUUUUUUUUGUGUGGGGGGGGCAGUACAGAAAUAUUUUCAAUUUUCUGAUGAUUUUGUCUGCAACUCGAGUUUUUAUAAAAUAUCACCAAAUUUUAAAGAGGGGUACCUAGAAAAAAGAGUUGCGAAUUCUUGGUCCUGUUAUAAAAAAAGGUGGUUUCGUUUGCAAAAUAAAAAAUUGUAUUAUUUUAAAAAUAAGGAGGACACAAGACCAUGUGGUGUUCUUGAUAUAGCUUUAAUUCAUAUGAAUAUUAUUUAUGAUCAAGGAGUGGGGGGUAACAACUCUUUUCAUUUUGUUGUUGCCAACAUAUGUAAGUUUAUAUUGAAUAAAAAAAUAAUAAAAUUUUUCUUUUUUUUUAAGCACUUUUUAACUUAUAAGCACGUAUGUAUAUAUUAAUGUAUACAUAUACGUAUUAAAACCAUACCUUUUUAUUGUUGUCGUUAGGCUGUUCCGAAUCAAGAGUUCAUAAAGCUACCAAAAAUAUAAUAUCUUAUUUAACCUUAAAUCCUGUAAAUACUGAUUUCAAACUUUAUUUAAGGGUAUUUAAAUAAAAAAAAAAUUAAUAAAAAUAAAUACCA
RNAcentral lists this long non-coding RNA (1004 nucleotides) under Piliocolobus tephrosceles (Ugandan red Colobus). RNAcentral describes it as "lncRNA (ENSPTEG00000011824.1)". The record is from RNAcentral. Lineage: Eukaryota; Metazoa; Chordata; Mammalia; Primates; Cercopithecidae.